Molecule: ribosomal RNA, 429 nt
Filed under: uncultured bacterium
Lineage: Bacteria
Description: bacterial SSU rRNA
Rfam family: Bacterial small subunit ribosomal RNA
Source: RNAcentral
UGAGGAAUAUUGCGCAAUGGACGAAAGUCUGACGCAGCGACGCCGCGUGGAGGAUGAAGGCCUUCGGGUUGUAAACUUCUGUUAAGUGGGAAGAAAUACUGGCUUUUAAUAGAAGUCGGGGAUGACGGUACCAUUAGAGAAAGCACCGGCUAAUCUCGUGCCAGCAGCCGCGGUAAUACGAGAGGUGCAAGCGUUAUUCGGAAUUACUGGGCGUAAAGGGUGUGUAGGCGGCUUGUCAAGUCCAUCGUUAAAUCUCUCGGCCUAACUGAGAGUUCGCGGUGGAAACUGACUUGCUAGAGUGAGGAAGAGAGAGGUGGAAUUCUCGGAGUAGCGGUAAAAUGCGUAGAUCUCGAGAAGAACACCGAUGGCGAAGGCAGCCUCUUGGUCCUUUUCUGACGCUGAGACACGAAAGCGUGGGGAGCAAACAGG